RNAcentral lists this ribosomal RNA (447 nucleotides) under uncultured bacterium. RNAcentral's name for it is "partial 16S ribosomal RNA". It matches the Rfam family "Bacterial small subunit ribosomal RNA", at positions 29 to 523 of the family's 1533-position model. The record is from RNAcentral.
AACGAACGCUGGCGGCAGGCUUAACACAUGCAAGUCGAACGCCCCGCAAGGGGAGUGGCAGACGGGUGAGUAACGCGUGGGAACGUACCUUUCAGUUCGGAAUAACUCAGGGAAACUUGUGCUAAUACCGGAUACGCCCGUAAGGGGAAAGAUUUAUCGCUGAAAGAUCGGCCCGCGUUGGAUUAGCUAGUUGGUGGGGUAAUGGCCUACCAAGGCGACGAUCCAUAGCUGGUCUGAGAGGAUGAUCAGCCACACUGGGACUGAGACACGGCCCAGACUCCUACGGGAGGCAGCAGUGGGGAAUAUUGGACAAUGGGCGAAAGCCUGAUCCAGCCAUGCCGCGUGAGUGAUGAAGGCCCUAGGGUUGUAAAGCUCUUUCACCGAUGAAGAUAAUGACGGUAGUCGGAGAAGAAGCCCUGGCUAACUUCGUGCCAGCCGCCGCAGUAA